UACGUAGGGUGCGAGCGUUAAUCGGAAUUACUGGGCGUAAAGCGUGCGCAGGCGGCUUUGUAAGCCAGAUGUGAAAUCCCCGGGCUCAACCUGGGAAUGGCAUUUGGGACUGCAAGGCUGGAGUACGGCAGAGGAGACUGGAAUUCCUGGUGUAGCAGUGAAAUGCGUAGAGAUCAGGAGAAUACCGAUGGCGAAGGCAGGUCUCUGGCUGAUACUGACGCUCAUGCACGAAAGCGUGGGGAGCAACAGG
RNAcentral lists this ribosomal RNA (250 nucleotides) under uncultured bacterium. RNAcentral's name for it is "partial 16S ribosomal RNA". It matches the Rfam family "Bacterial small subunit ribosomal RNA", at positions 524 to 775 of the family's 1533-position model. The record is from RNAcentral.